AUACGGAGGGUGCGAGCGUUGUUCGGAAUUAUUGGGCGUAAAGAGCAUGUAGGCGGUCUGUUAAGUCUGGUGUGAAAGCCCGGGGCUCAACCCCGGAAGUGCAUUGGAUACUGGCAGACUUGAGUAUGUGAGAGGAAAGCGGAAUUCCGAGUGUAGGAGUGAAAUCCGUAGAUAUUCGGAGGAACACCAGUGGCGAAGGCGGCUUUCUGGACCAAUACUGACGCUGAGAUGCGAAAGCGUGGGGAGCAAACAGGAUUAGAUACCCGGGUAGUCC
Molecule: ribosomal RNA, 274 nt
Filed under: uncultured bacterium
Lineage: Bacteria
Description: partial 16S ribosomal RNA
Rfam family: Bacterial small subunit ribosomal RNA
Source: RNAcentral